This 969-nucleotide long non-coding RNA is filed under the name Bos taurus (domestic cattle). Its description in RNAcentral is "long non-coding RNA NONBTAT010643". Lineage: Eukaryota; Metazoa; Chordata; Mammalia; Artiodactyla; Bovidae. The record is from RNAcentral.
CUAUGAAAGUCUUCUGACUAUUUCUAGCUUGAGAAUUUUUACUAAAUAUCUAUUAGAAUUAACUAUCACAAAAGACACACUUAAAGUAUUCUCUUAAUACCGAUUACAAGAUUGAGUGCUGAUAGCACUACUAUGAGUUUAGUAACACAAAUACUUAGCCUCAAAAAGAGGCUAUAGAUGGUGUUAUGUGAAAGGGUAAUUACUGAAUUGAUAGAUCAUCAACCUAAUUAAGUAUCGCCUACAUGCAUAUGUGCUAGCAGUGCAGGUAAAGCAGUUGUACCAAAUACUACUUAAGCAUCAUUGUGGAGAUCCAGUGUGUUACAGUAGUGUGCAAUGAAGUUUGAUAACCUUGUUUAAAAGAGUGUAAAGAAAUCCACCAAAAAAUUGAGCAGGGGGCCUUUGACACUGAUAAAUUUUCAAACACGAAUACAGUGCUGCUUUUGUUAUUUGCUAACCUAAUGGAUUUUAAGGCAAUUAAGUAAUAAAGUAAAAGGUCAGGUGACCUAGGCCCUAAUUAUAUGAACCUUAGUUUCUUUGUCUGCAUAAAGAAGUUAAAGUGUUUCUGAAUUGUGAAAGCUAAGAAAACAUGAUUGUAAAUUUUAUCAGCGAUAACAUCAAAGUUGAUAGAGAAAUUGAGUUCUUGACAGUUUAGUACUAUUAAGGUUUAGAUUAUCAGGAGCCAAGUUUCCCAUCUGCAGUGGAAGUAUGCUUUCAUACUUUCUAUGAAAGGUUUAUUUCAUUCUUUUUAUUAAAAAGCUCUAAAUACUUUAAUAAUGAAGCAUUUCAAUUUGAAGUAUUAUUUCUUUACAGCAAGCAUUUGAUUUUGAAAACCAGUUUUCUUUAAUCAGUGAGUUAAAAGGAAAAUGCUAUAGUGUGAAAGUAAUUUUCAUUACCCACGAUUUACGUAUAAGACAGCCUUCAUCUAAUUUGCCUGUGUCUUCUAUUAGGAAAAAAAAUACGCUCAGAAAA